GGCGGCGUGCCUAAUACAUGCAAGUCGAACGGAAUUUAAGAGGGCUUGCUCUUUUAAAUUUAGUGGCGCACGGGUGAGUAAUAUAUAGCUAAUCUGCCCCUUGCUGGAGGACAACAGUUAGAAAUGACUGCUAAUACUCCAUACUCCUUUUUACCAUAAGAUAAAUCGGGAAAGAAUUUCGGCAAGGGAUGAGACUAUAUCGUAUCAGCUAGUCGGUGGGGUAACGGCCUACCGAGGCUAUGACGCGUAACUGGUCUGAGAGGAUGAUCAGUCACAUUGGAACUGAGACACGGUCCAAACUCCUACGGGAGGCAGCAGUAGGGAAUAUUGCGCAAUGGGGGAAACCCUGACGCAGCAACGCCGCGUGGAGGAUGACACUUUUCGGAGCGUAAACUCCUUUUGUUAGGGAAGAAUAAUGACGGACCUAACGAUAAGCCCCGG
RNAcentral lists this ribosomal RNA (441 nucleotides) under Campylobacter gracilis. Its description in RNAcentral is "bacterial SSU rRNA". It matches the Rfam family "Bacterial small subunit ribosomal RNA", at positions 38 to 496 of the family's 1533-position model. The record is from RNAcentral. Lineage: Bacteria; Pseudomonadati; Campylobacterota; Epsilonproteobacteria; Campylobacterales; Campylobacteraceae.